RNAcentral lists this ribosomal RNA (497 nucleotides) under uncultured bacterium. RNAcentral describes it as "partial 16S ribosomal RNA". It matches the Rfam family "Bacterial small subunit ribosomal RNA", at positions 28 to 507 of the family's 1533-position model. The record is from RNAcentral.
GAUGAACGCUGGCGGCGUGCCUAAUACAUGCAAGUCGAACGAACAGACGAAUAUCUUGCUCCUCUGACGUUAGCGGCUGACGGGUGAGUAACGCGUGGAUAACUUACCUAUAAGUCAGGGGUAACUUCGGGAAACCGGAGAUAUUACCGGAUCAUCUAUUACCCCGCAUGGUUCCAUCAUCAAAGACGGCUUUGCUGUCACUUAUAGAUGUAUCCGCGCCGCCUUAGCUAGUUGGUAAGGUAACGGCUUACCAAGGCAACGAUGCGUAGCCGACCUGAGAGGGUGAUCGGCCACACUGGAACUGAGACACGGUCCAGACUCCUACGAGAGGCAGCAGUAGGGAAUCUUCCGCAAUGGGCGAAAGCCUGACGGAGCAACGCCGCGUGAGUGAUGAAGGUCUUAGGAUCGUAAAACUCUGUUAUUAGGGAAGAACAAAUGUGUAAGUAACUAUGCACGUCUUGACGGUACCUAAUCAGAAAGCCACGGCUAACUACGUG